GACUUAACAAAUUUGACCCAA
This 21-nucleotide small nuclear RNA is filed under the name Arabidopsis thaliana (thale cress). RNAcentral's name for it is "snRNA_17210". Lineage: Eukaryota; Viridiplantae; Streptophyta; Magnoliopsida; Brassicales; Brassicaceae. The record is from RNAcentral.